This 449-nucleotide ribosomal RNA is filed under the name uncultured bacterium. RNAcentral describes it as "partial 16S ribosomal RNA". It matches the Rfam family "Bacterial small subunit ribosomal RNA", at positions 29 to 523 of the family's 1533-position model. The record is from RNAcentral.
AACGAACGCUGGCGGCAGGCCUAACACAUGCAAGUCGAACGCUGUAGCAAUACAGAGUGGCAGACGGGUGAGUAACGCGUGGGAACAUGCCCUUCGGUUCGGAAUAACUCAGGGAAACUUGAGCUAAUACCGGAUACGCCCUUAGGGGGAAAGAUUUAUUGCCGAAGGAUUGGCCCGCGUCCGAUUAGCUAGUUGGUGAGGUAAUGGCUCACCAAGGCGACGACCGGUAGCUGGUCUGAGAGGAUGAUCAGCCACACUGGGACUGAGACACGGCCCAGACUCCUACGGGAGGCAGCAGUGGGGAAUAUUGGACAAUGGGCGCAAGCUUGAUCCAGCCAUGCCGCGUGAGUGAUGAAGGCCCUAGGGUUGUAAAGCUCUUUCGCCAGGGACGAUAAUGACGGUAGUCGGAGAAGAAGCCCCGGCUAACUUCGUGCCAGCCGCCGCAGUAA